ACACUAAUCUUCCCAGGGGAACCUGGCCCUUAAUUCGAUAGUCCACGAACUUCUUACCUCUUCUAGUUGGCCAAAAUUUUUAAGAUCUAGGUCAGAAUCAGCUCACAUACCGCCGUUUCGUAGCCUGUCUCGCGAGAGGACAAAAAUAGGCGUCCCAGCAUCAAUUGUUUAGAGCCCUUUGAUGGGCCAAAAGACUGAUCGCUAAUAAUUCAGGUAAACGUGUGGCCUAUGGGGAGGGGGUGCUGGGUUACAGUAAGUGUUUGCUGUGGAUCUUAUAACCUUAAGGGUUAAGUGAAAGAGGACUUGGAAGUAAUGAGGCUGGACAAUGGCCUCAUGAAUUAGGCUCUAGUGUGUGU
This 356-nucleotide ribosomal RNA is filed under the name Lottia orbignyi. RNAcentral describes it as "Lottia orbigny partial 12S ribosomal RNA". Lineage: Eukaryota; Metazoa; Mollusca; Gastropoda; Lottiidae. The record is from RNAcentral.